Molecule: ribosomal RNA, 773 nt
Filed under: uncultured Neocallimastigales
Lineage: Eukaryota; Fungi; Neocallimastigomycota; Neocallimastigomycetes; Neocallimastigales
Description: partial large subunit ribosomal RNA
Rfam family: Eukaryotic large subunit ribosomal RNA
Source: RNAcentral
GUACACGCUGUGACUAGCAUAUCAAUAAGCGGAGGAAAAGAAACUAACAAGGAUUCCCCUAGUAACGGCGAGUGAAGCGGGAAGAGCUCAAAUUUGAAAUCUUAAAGGGUUUCCCUUUACGAAUUGUAGUUUAAAGAAGUGUUUUCUGUUGAGGUUUUGGUAAAAGUUCUUUGGAAUAGGACAUCAUAGAGGGUGAGAAUCCCGUAUUUGACCUUUACUUUCAACUUUGUGAUACACUUUCAAAGAGUCGGAUUGUUUGGGAAUGCAGUCCAAAAUGGGUGGUAAAUUUCAUCUAAAGCUAAAUAUUGGCGAGAGACCGAUAGCGAACAAGUACCGUGAGGGAAAGAUGAAAAGAACUUUGAAAAGAGAGUUAAACAGUACGUGAAAUUGUCAAAAGGGAAGCGUUUGACACCAGUGUUGUUUUUCUGAAAAUCAAUUAAAGAACUGUUUAUGCUAAGUUGUUUAGACUUUAUCAGCUAACUGUUUAGUUUUGAGCUUUUCUUUAAUGCACUUUUCAGUUAACAAGUCAACAUCAAUUUCUUUGCUGUAAAAAAGCUUGAGGAAGGUGGCCUGAGAUUCGUCUUAAGUGUUUAUAGCCUCUUGCCUAUGCAGUCGGAGAGAUUGAGGUCUGCAGCGUAGAUCCUUCGGGGCUAAAUGCAUUUGUGCUAAGUUAUAGCAUUUUAUAGACAACUUGUUGACUAUGAUUUGUCUUGUAGCUUACUCGCUUAUGUUAUUUUACCUACGCUUAGGAUGUUGACAGCAGUAUAGACUGU